Molecule: transfer RNA, 105 nt
Filed under: Thelonectria olida
Lineage: Eukaryota; Fungi; Ascomycota; Sordariomycetes; Hypocreales; Nectriaceae
Rfam family: tRNA
About the family: Transfer RNA (tRNA) molecules are approximately 80 nucleotides in length. Their secondary structure includes four short double-helical elements and three loops (D, anti-codon, and T loops). Further hydrogen bonds mediate the characteristic L-shaped molecular structure. tRNAs have two regions of fundamental functional importance: the anti-codon, which is responsible for specific mRNA codon recognition, and the 3' end, to which the tRNAs corresponding amino acid is attached (by aminoacyl-tRNA synthetases). tRNAs cope with the degeneracy of the genetic code in two manners: having more than one tRNA (with a specific anti-codon) for a particular amino acid; and 'wobble' base-pairing, i.e. permitting non-standard base-pairing at the 3rd anti-codon position.
Source: Rfam by way of RNAcentral
GUCGGUGUGGCUCAGUUGGUUAGAGCGUUGGUCUCAUAUUGAAACAUGACUCGGCGAAAAGUCAGAGACAUCCAAAGGUCGAGAGUUCGAGCCUCUCCACCGACA